GACGAACGCUGGCGGCGUGCUUAACACAUGCAAGUCGAACGGAAAGGCCCGGCUUUUGUUGCUUGCUCGAUUGGCGAACAGGUGAGUAACACGUGAGUAACCUGCCCCUGACUGUGUGAUAACUCCAGGAAACUCGGGCGCAUACCGCGUAGGAUCUCCUGCUGCAUGGUGUUGGAUGGUAAGUUUCGGCUGUGGUGGCUAGUCUCGCGGGUUAUCAGCUGCUUGGUGAGGUAGUGGCGUACCAAGGCUUUGACGGAUAGCCGGCCUGAGAGGUUUAACGGCGACCAUGGGACUACGAGACGGAGCAGACUGCUACGGGACGCAGCAGUGGGGAAUCUUGCACAGUGGGCGGAAGCCUGAUGCAGCAGCGCCGCGUGCGGGAUGACGGCCUUCGAGUUGUAAACAGCUUUCGAAUGUGACGAAGAGUGCUUGACGGUAAUGGGUCAGGAAGCACCGGCUAACUACGUG
RNAcentral lists this ribosomal RNA (468 nucleotides) under uncultured bacterium. Its description in RNAcentral is "partial 16S ribosomal RNA". It matches the Rfam family "Bacterial small subunit ribosomal RNA", at positions 28 to 507 of the family's 1533-position model. The record is from RNAcentral.